CCAAAACCCAUAAAUGAACUUGGAGGACACUAUAACACUAAAUGACACAUUUUCUGAAUUCCUCACACCGCUCACACGUGUUCAUUGCCUCCCGCACCGCACUGUUGCAGACAGUCACAGAAAGAUCGCACAACAUGAGCAGACGCAGUAUGGGUGUUGAUUGUCCAUCUGAACCUCCUGACUGAAGAGAAGCUUGCCAGUUUCUACGAUGUCUUCCCUGUAAAGGCUCAUAUAUUGGUUUGGCCCUUAGGCCACAGCUGUGUGGAAAAAAACCUUCUCUACCCAUUAAUUGCCAAUGACAAAGGCAGAGAAUGUAAGAACUACAGUCAUUAGAUUCCAUUGAUGGCUUCAUUUUGGGGCACAUGUAUUCAGUGACUGGCUUGUUCCUCGGAAGUGAUGCAGCUUGAGAAGAGCUAAUUUUAUUUCCAUGUUUGGAGAAUGUAAAAUGAGUGGGGGAGUUUCUUUUGUAAACCAUGUUUAUGUAAUGCACAAUUUUGAAAGUUAUGCAUUGAUUGUUACCAAUAAAGAAAG
Molecule: long non-coding RNA, 531 nt
Organism: Cyprinus carpio carpio
Lineage: Eukaryota; Metazoa; Chordata; Actinopteri; Cypriniformes; Cyprinidae
Source: Ensembl